UGGGGGAUAUUGCACAAUGGGCGAAAGCCUGAUGCAGCGACGCCGCGUGGGGGAUGAAGGCCUUCGGGUUGUAAACUUCUUUUGCUCUGAACAAGGCAUGCCUUUGGGGUGUGUUGAGUGUAGGGGUUGAUUAGCGCCGGCUAACUACGUGCCAGCAGCCGCGGUAAUAUGUAGGGCGCGAGCGUUGUCCGGAAUUAUUGGGCGUAAAGGGCUUGUAGGUGGCUGGUUGCGUCUGUCGUGAAAGCUCAUGGCUUAACUGUGGGUUUGCGGUGGGUACGGGCUGGCUUGAGUGCAGUAGGGGAGGCUGGAAUUCCUGGUGUAGCGGUGGAAUGCGCAGAUAUCAGGAGGAAUACCGGUGGCGAAGGCGGGUCUCUGGGCUGUUACUGACGCUGAGGAGCGAAAGCGUGGGGAGCGAACAGG
RNAcentral lists this ribosomal RNA (420 nucleotides) under Fusobacteriota bacterium. RNAcentral describes it as "Fusobacteria bacterium partial 16S ribosomal RNA". It matches the Rfam family "Bacterial small subunit ribosomal RNA", at positions 355 to 776 of the family's 1533-position model. The record is from RNAcentral. Lineage: Bacteria; Fusobacteriati; Fusobacteriota.